GGAUUGGGAUGAACCCCUCCCCAGACUGGGAUGAGCUCUCCAAACUGGGAUCAGCCCCCCCAAGCUGGGAUGAGCCCCCCAGACUGGGAUGAGCUCUCCAAACUGGGAUCAGCCCCCCUGAACUGGGAUGAGCCCCCCAGACUGGGAUGAGCUCUCCAAACUGGGAUCAGCCCCCCCAGACUGGGAUGAGUUCCCUGGACUGGAAUGAGCUCUCCAAACUGGGAUCAGCCCCCCUGAACUGGGAUGAGUUCUCUGGACUGUGAUGGGUCCCCUGGGGUGGAGCCUUUUUUCCCCCCACCCAGAAUUUUCCUGCUUUUCUCCUCCUCCUCCUGCUGCUGCUGCUGCUGAGUGCUGCCACCACCCCUGUCACUGUCCCCUGGGUGCUGUGACACCCCCAGCCUGCCCACACCUCUCAUUGACAGCGCUGGUGGCAGCUUUUUGGGACCACUUUGGGAUGGUGUCACGGACCAAAACAUCAAAGCACGUCCCUGUCCCCUUCUCCUCUGGGCUCCUGGGGGGGAUCGGGGUCGGGUUAAACUGGAACUGGGCAGGGAGGGAGGAGCAGGGACCUCCAGAGGGUCCUGGGAGGACCUGGGACAAUGGGGGUGUCCCCAUGCCAGGACCUGGGACAUUGGGGUGUCCCC
Molecule: long non-coding RNA, 644 nt
Filed under: Zonotrichia albicollis (white-throated sparrow)
Lineage: Eukaryota; Metazoa; Chordata; Aves; Passeriformes; Passerellidae
Description: lncRNA (ENSZALG00000012173.1)
Source: RNAcentral